UGGGGAAUAUUGGACAAUGGGCGCAAGCCUGAUCCAGCCAUACCGCGUGCAGGAAGAAGGCCCUAUGGGUCGUAAACUGCUUUUGAACAAGAGAAAACCCCGGUACGUGUACUGGGUUGAUAGUAUUGUUAGAAUAAGCAUCGGCUAACUUCGUGCCAGCAGCCGCGGUAAGACGAAGGAUGCAAGCGUUAUCCGGAUUCAUUGGGUUUAAAGGGUGCGUAGGCGGACUGAUAAGUCAGUGGUGAAAUCUCUCGGCUUAACCGAGAAACUGCCAUUGAUACUGUUAGUCUAGAGUACAGAUGAUGUGGGCGGAAUAUGACAUGUAGUGGUGAAAUACUUAGAUAUGUCAUAGAACACCGAUUGCGAAGGCAGCUCACAAAACUGUAACUGACGCUGAGGCACGAAAGUGCGGGGAUCAAACAGGAUUAGAUACCCCCGUAGUCCCUGAGCGGGCUGGCAAGGCGCAU
This 467-nucleotide ribosomal RNA is filed under the name uncultured bacterium. Its description in RNAcentral is "bacterial SSU rRNA". It matches the Rfam family "Bacterial small subunit ribosomal RNA", at positions 355 to 825 of the family's 1533-position model. The record is from RNAcentral.